This 71-nucleotide transfer RNA is filed under the name Lachnellula subtilissima. It matches the Rfam family "tRNA". From Rfam's summary of the family: Transfer RNA (tRNA) molecules are approximately 80 nucleotides in length. Their secondary structure includes four short double-helical elements and three loops (D, anti-codon, and T loops). Further hydrogen bonds mediate the characteristic L-shaped molecular structure. tRNAs have two regions of fundamental functional importance: the anti-codon, which is responsible for specific mRNA codon recognition, and the 3' end, to which the tRNAs corresponding amino acid is attached (by aminoacyl-tRNA synthetases). tRNAs cope with the degeneracy of the genetic code in two manners: having more than one tRNA (with a specific anti-codon) for a particular amino acid; and 'wobble' base-pairing, i.e. permitting non-standard base-pairing at the 3rd anti-codon position. Lineage: Eukaryota; Fungi; Ascomycota; Leotiomycetes; Helotiales; Lachnaceae. The record is from Rfam by way of RNAcentral.
CUCUUAUUAGCUUAAUGGUAAAGCAUAAUACUUCUAAUAUUUGGUUUCAAGUUCAAGUCUUGGAUAAGAGC